Molecule: ribosomal RNA, 1476 nt
Filed under: uncultured Bordetella sp.
Lineage: Bacteria; Pseudomonadati; Pseudomonadota; Betaproteobacteria; Burkholderiales; Alcaligenaceae
Description: partial 16S-23S ribosomal RNA intergenic spacer
Rfam family: Bacterial small subunit ribosomal RNA
Source: RNAcentral
GGUUCGAUCAUGGCUCAGAUUGAACGCUGGCGGGAUGCUUACACAUGCAAGUCGAACGGCAGCACGACUUCAGUCUGGUGGCGAGUGGCGAACGGGUGAGUAAUGUAUCGGAACGUGCCUAGUAGCGGGGAUAACUACGCGAAAGCGUAGCUAAUACCGCAUACGCCCUUCGGGGGAAAGCGGGGACCUUCGGGCCCCUGCACCAUUAGAGCGGCCACAUAUCGGAUUAGCUAGUUGGUGGGGUAACGGCUCACCAAGGCGACGGGAUCCGUAGCUGGUCGAGAUAACGACCAGCCAUGACUGGGACUGGAGAUUACGGUUCAGAUCACAUGGGAGGCAGCAGUGGGGUAACUUGGACAACGGGGAACUCUGAUCCAGCCAUCCCGGGCGUGCGAUGGGCCUCGGGUUGUAAAGCACUUUGGCAGGAGGUAAAGAAAACGGCACGGGAUAAUACCCCCGUGUGCAACCGACGGGGCACCUAUAUCGCCACCCGGCUAACUACGUGCCAGCAGCAAGGUAAUACGUAGGCAAGCGUGCGUUAAUCGGAAUUACUGGGCGUAAAGCGUGCGCAGGCGGUUCGGAAAAGAAAGAUGUGAAAUCCCAGAGCUUAACUUUGGAACUGCAUUUUUAACUACUGAGCUAGAGUGUCAGAGGGAGGUGGAAUUCGCGUGUAGCAGUGAAUGCGUAGAUAUGCGGAGGAACACCGAUGGCGAAGGCAGCCUCUGGGGAUAACACUGACGCUCAUGCACGAAAGCGUGGGAGCAAACAGGAUUAGAUAAUUCUGGUAGUCCACGCCCUAAACGAUGUCAACUAGCUGUUGGGGCCUUCGGGCCUUGGUAGCGCAGCUAACGCGGGUGUAGUUGACCGCCUGGGGAGUACGGUCGCAAGAUUAAACCGUGUUGAAUUGAUGGGACCUGCACAAGCGGUGGAUAUGGAUUAAUUCGAUGCACGCAAAAACCUUACCUACCCUUAAUAUGUCUGGAAUCCCAAAGAGAUUUGGGAGGCUCGUGCAGAAUCCAACACAGGUGCUGCAUGGCUGCUUCGCCGCUCAAAUGUGAGAUGUUGGGUUAAGUCCUGCAACGACGCAACCUCUUGUCAUUAGCGAAGUACGGCAUAGCACCUAAUGAGACUGCCGGUGACAAACCGGGAGGAAGGUGAUGACGUCAAGUCCUCAUGGCCCUUAUGGGUAGGGCUUCACACGUCAUACACUGGUCGGGACAGAGGGCUGCCAACCCGAGGGGGAGCCAAUCCCAGAAACCCGAUCGUAGUCCGGAUCGCAGUCUGCAACUCGACUGCGUGAAGUCGGAAUCGCUAGUAAUCGCGGAUCAGCAUGUCGCGGUGAAUACGUUCCCGGGUCUUGUACACACCGCCCGUCACACCAUGGGAGUGGGUUUUACCAGAAGUAGUUAGCCUAACCGUAAGGAGGGCGAUUACCACGGUAGGAUUCAUGACUGGGGUGAAGUCGUAACAAGGUAG